RNAcentral lists this ribosomal RNA (1375 nucleotides) under uncultured bacterium. Its description in RNAcentral is "16S ribosomal RNA". It matches the Rfam family "Bacterial small subunit ribosomal RNA". The record is from RNAcentral.
AGAGUUUGAUCCUGGCUCAGGACGAACGCUGGCGGCGCGCCUAACACAUGCAAGUCGAACGGAGUCAAGAGGAGCUUGCUUUUCUUGACUUAGUGGCGAACGGGUGAGUAACGCGUGAGUAACCUGCCCUGGAGUGGGGGACAACAGUUGGAAACGACUGCUAAUACCGCAUAAGCCCACGGCCCGGCAUCGGGCUGCGGGAAAAGGAUUUAUUCGCUUCAGGAUGGACUCGCGUCCAAUUAGCUAGUUGGUGAGGUAACGGCCCACCAAGGCGACGAUUGGUAGCCGGACUGAGAGGUUGAACGGCCACAUUGGGACUGAGACACGGCCCAGACUCCUACGGGAGGCAGCAGUGGGGGAUAUUGCACAAUGGGGGAAACCCUGAUGCAGCGACGCCGCGUGGAGGAAGAAGGUUUUCGGAUUGUAAACUCCUGUCGUUAGGGACGAUAAUGACGGUACCUAACAAGAAAGCACCGGCUAACUACGUGCCAGCAGCCGCGGUAAAACGUAGGGUGCAAGCGUUGUCCGGAAUUACUGGGUGUAAAGGGAGCGCAGGCGGCAAUGCAAGUCAGAUGUGAAAUACAUGGGCUUAACCGAUGAACUGCAUUUGAAACUGUGUUGCUUGAGUGAAGUAGAAGCAGGCGGAAUUCCCUGUGUAGCGGUGAAAUGCGUAGAGAUAGGGAGGAACACCAGUGGCGAAGGCGGCCUGCUGGGCUUUAACUGACGCUGAAGCACGAAAGCAUGGGUAGCAAACAGGAUUAGAUACCCUGGUAGUCCAUGCCGUAAACGAUGAUUACUAGGUGUGGGGAGACUGACCCUUUCCGUGCCGCAGUUAACACAAUAAGUAAUCCACCUGGGGAGUACGACCGCAAGGUUGAAACUCAAAGGAAUUGACGGGGGCCCGCACAAGCAGUGGAGUAUGUGGUUUAAUUCGAAGCAACGCGAAGAACCUUACCAGGUCUUGACAUCCUAGGAACGGACUAGAGAUAGACCGGUGCCUUUCGGGGAAUCUAGAGACAGGUGGUGCAUGGUUGUCGUCAGCUCGUGUCGUGAGAUGUUGGGUUAAGUCCCGCAACGAGCGCAACCCUUGUCAUUAGUUGCUACGCAAGAGCACUCUAAUGAGACUGCCGUUGACAAAACGGAGGAAGGUGGGGACGACGUCAAAUCAUCAUGCCCCUUAUGACCUGGGCUACACACGUACUACAAUGGCCGUAAACAGAGGGAAGCAGGAGAGCGAUCUGGAGCAAACCCCCAAAAACGGUCCCAGUUCGGAUUGCAGGCUGAAACUCGCCUGUAUGAAGUCGGAAUUGCUAGUAAUCGCGGAUCAGCAUGCCGCGGUGAAUACGUUCCCGGGCCUUGUACACACCGCCCGUCA